UUGAUCAUGGCUCAGAUUGAACGCUGGCGGCAGGCCUAACACAUGCAAGUCGAGCGGCAGCACAGAGGAACUUGUUCCUUGGGUGGCGAGCGGCGGACGGGUGAGUAAUGCCUGGGAAAUUGCCCGGUAGAGGGGGAUAACCAUUGGAAACGAUGGCUAAUACCGCAUAACCUCGCAAGAGCAAAGCAGGGGACCUUCGGGCCUUGCGCUACCGGAUAUGCCCAGGUGGGAUUAGCUAGUUGGUGAGGUAAGGGCUCACCAAGGCGACGAUCCCUAGCUGGUCUGAGAGGAUGAUCAGCCACACUGGAACUGAGACACGGUCCAGACUCCUACGGGAGGCAGCAGUGGGGAAUAUUGCACAAUGGGCGCAAGCCUGAUGCAGCCAUGCCGCGUGUAUGAAGAAGGCCUUCGGGUUGUAAAGUACUUUCA
Molecule: ribosomal RNA, 429 nt
Filed under: Vibrio cholerae
Lineage: Bacteria; Pseudomonadati; Pseudomonadota; Gammaproteobacteria; Vibrionales; Vibrionaceae
Description: bacterial SSU rRNA
Rfam family: Bacterial small subunit ribosomal RNA
Source: RNAcentral